GUGCUUGUUUUGGGAGCACAUACAUUAAAAGUGGCAUGAUAUAGUGAAUGAUAUGGAGUGGAGUGUCCCUUACACAAGAAUGACACACAAAUUUGUGAAACAUUGCAUAUUUUU
RNAcentral lists this small nuclear RNA (114 nucleotides) under Chinchilla lanigera (long-tailed chinchilla). Lineage: Eukaryota; Metazoa; Chordata; Mammalia; Rodentia; Chinchillidae. The record is from RNAcentral.